RNAcentral lists this ribosomal RNA (253 nucleotides) under uncultured bacterium. Its description in RNAcentral is "partial 16S ribosomal RNA". It matches the Rfam family "Bacterial small subunit ribosomal RNA", at positions 524 to 776 of the family's 1533-position model. The record is from RNAcentral.
UACGUAGGGCGCAAGCGUUGUCCGGAAUUAUUGGGCGUAAAGAGCUCGUAGGCGGUUUGUCGCGUCUGUCGUGAAAGCUUGGGGCUUAACCCCAAGUCUGCGGUGGAUACGGGCAGACUGGAGUACUGCAGGGGAGACUGGAAUUCCUGGUGUAGCGGUGGAAUGCGCAGAUAUCAGGAGGAACACCGGUGGCGAAGGCGGGUCUCUGGGCAGUAACUGACGCUCAUACACGACAGCAUGGGGAGCGAACGGG